RNAcentral lists this non-coding RNA (152 nucleotides) under Candidatus Omnitrophota bacterium. RNAcentral's name for it is "Candidatus Omnitrophica bacterium (sediment metagenome) 6S RNA". It matches the Rfam family "6S / SsrS RNA". From Rfam's summary of the family: E. coli 6S RNA was the first non coding RNA to be sequenced, but its function was unknown until recently. It consists of 184 nucleotides that fold into an extended hairpin structure with a large single-stranded internal bulge. The 6S RNA specifically associates with RNA polymerase holoenzyme containing the sigma70 specificity factor. Lineage: Bacteria; Pseudomonadati; Candidatus Omnitrophota. The record is from RNAcentral.
AAAUCCCUGCGGUGUGCGUUAGGAAAACAAUAUGAAAACCAACACGUUAUGGACGGGACGCUAAACUUCUGGUUCGCUCUUGGGCAGCCAGAGAAGUUCCCACUUGAAACUUAGGUUUGCCAUAACUUUUCCGACGGCAUAGCGGGGAUUUU